RNAcentral lists this ribosomal RNA (449 nucleotides) under uncultured bacterium. RNAcentral's name for it is "partial 16S ribosomal RNA". It matches the Rfam family "Bacterial small subunit ribosomal RNA", at positions 354 to 796 of the family's 1533-position model. The record is from RNAcentral.
GUCGAGAAUCUUUCACAAUGGGGGCAACCCUGAUGGAGCGACGCCGCGUGGAGGAUAAGGUCUUCGGAUUGUAAACUCCUGUCAUGCGUGAACAAGGUUGCUUGGAUAAUACCUGAGCAAAUUGAUGGUAGCGCAAGAGGAAGAGACGGCUAACUCUGUGCCAGCAGCCGCGGUAAUACAGAGGUCUCAAGCGUUGUUCGGAAUCACUGGGCGUAAAGGGGGCGUAGGUGGCGUGGCAAGUCAGAUGGGAAAGCCCGGGGCUCAACCUCGGAAAUGCAUCCGAUACUGCCAUGCUAGAGUACUGGAGGGGUGACUAGAAUUCUCGGUGUAGCAGUGAAAUGCGUAGAUAUCGAGAGGAAUACCAAAGGCGUAGGCAGGUCACUGGACAGUUACUGACACUGAGGCACGAAGGCCAGGGGAGCGAACGGGAUUAGAUACCCGAGUAGUCC